UGGGGAAUAUUGCACAAUGGGCGCAAGCCUGAUGCAGCCAUGCCGCGUGUGUGAAGAAGGCCUUCGGGUUGUAAAGCACUUUCAGCGGGGAGGAGGGCGUUAAGGUUAAUAACCUUAUCAAUUGACGUUACCGACAGAAGAAGCACCGGCUAACUCCGUGCCAGCAGCCGCGGUAAUACGGAGGGUGCAAGCGUUAAUCGGAAUUACUGGGCGUAAAGCGCACGCAGGCGGUUGAUUGAGUCAGAUGUGAAAUCCCCGGGCUUAACCCGGGAAUUGCAUCUGAUACUGGUCAGCUAGAGUCUUGUAGAGGGGGGUAGAAUUCCAUGUGUAGCGGUGAAAUGCGUAGAGAUGUGGAGGAAUACCGGUGGCGAAGGCGGCCCCCUGGACAAAGACUGACGCUCAGGUGCGAAAGCGUGGGGAGCAAACAGG
This 429-nucleotide ribosomal RNA is filed under the name Chloroflexota bacterium. RNAcentral's name for it is "Chloroflexi bacterium partial 16S ribosomal RNA". It matches the Rfam family "Bacterial small subunit ribosomal RNA", at positions 355 to 776 of the family's 1533-position model. Lineage: Bacteria; Bacillati; Chloroflexota. The record is from RNAcentral.